Molecule: transfer RNA, 76 nt
Filed under: Clostridium luticellarii
Lineage: Bacteria; Bacillati; Bacillota; Clostridia; Eubacteriales; Clostridiaceae
Description: tRNA-Pro
Rfam family: tRNA
About the family: Transfer RNA (tRNA) molecules are approximately 80 nucleotides in length. Their secondary structure includes four short double-helical elements and three loops (D, anti-codon, and T loops).
Source: RNAcentral
CGGGGUGUAGCGCAGAUGGUAGCGCGCUUGCUUCGGGAGCAAGAGGUCGCAGGUUCGAGUCCUGUCACCCCGACCA